RNAcentral lists this small RNA (549 nucleotides) under Pan troglodytes (chimpanzee). RNAcentral's name for it is "processed transcript". Lineage: Eukaryota; Metazoa; Chordata; Mammalia; Primates; Hominidae. The record is from RNAcentral.
UUUAUGGCUGGGCUAAUAGACCCUCAAGAACACACCCACACAUUGAUAGUUUGUAUACAUUUUCAGCAAGGGAAAAGUAAAUUAUACACAGCUAUUAGUGGAAUACAGCAAAUGGAUAUCAUUUGGACCAUUUAUCAGACCUUCAUGGAAUCACACAUUUCUGCCUAAGUCCAACAGGUGUUUAAGAUAGAAGUGCUAAUGAAUGGGAGAAAACAUUUUGUUGAAAAGAGAUACAGCGAAUUUCAUGCUUUGCACAAAAAGCUUAAGAAAUGUAUAAAAACUCCAGAAAUCCCUUCUAAACAUGUUAGGAACUGGGUCCCCAAAGUCUUGGAACAGCGACGACAAGGCUUGGAAACAUACUUACAGAAUUUUGAAUAUCUGCUUCUAAAACACACCUAAUUCACCAAGAAACUGAGGAAAUAAGACCACUGGUGCUAUUUUUCAGAGAAAGUAAACACAUACACACACAUGGAUGGAGAGAGGGACAGAGGGAUGGACGGAUGAAUGCAUUGGUAGAUGGGAAAACGCUUAGAGUGAUACGCUAUUUCG